GGUCGAUGCUGGUUAAUGGGGACGGACUGUAAAUCCGCUGGCAAUGCCUACGCUGGUUCAAAUCCAGCUCGGCCCAAA
Molecule: transfer RNA, 78 nt
Filed under: Torrentaria lusitanica
Lineage: Eukaryota; Viridiplantae; Streptophyta; Bryopsida; Hypnales; Brachytheciaceae
Description: tRNA-Tyr
Rfam family: tRNA
About the family: Transfer RNA (tRNA) molecules are approximately 80 nucleotides in length. Their secondary structure includes four short double-helical elements and three loops (D, anti-codon, and T loops).
Source: RNAcentral